RNAcentral lists this ribosomal RNA (497 nucleotides) under uncultured bacterium. RNAcentral's name for it is "partial 16S ribosomal RNA". It matches the Rfam family "Bacterial small subunit ribosomal RNA", at positions 28 to 507 of the family's 1533-position model. The record is from RNAcentral.
GACGAACGCUGGCGGCGUGCCUAAUACAUGCAAGUUGAGCGCUGAAGGUUGGUACUUGUACCAACUGGGUGAGCAGCGAACGGGUGAGUAACGCGUGGGUAAUCUGCCUUUGAGCGGGGGACAACAUUUGGAAACGAAUGCUAAUACCGCAUAAAAACUUUAAACACAAGUUUUAAGUUUGAAAGAUGCAAUUGCAUCACUCAAAGAUGAUCCCGCGUUGUAUUAGCUAGUUGGUGAGGUAAAGGCUCACCAAGGCGAUGAUACAUAGCCGACCUGAGAGGGUGAUCGGCCACAUUGGGACCGAGAAACGGCCCAAACUCCUACGGGAGGCAGCAGUAGGGAAUCUUCGGCCAUGGACGAAAGUCUGACCGAGCAACGCCGCGUGAGUGAAGAAGGUUUUCGGAUCGUAAAACUCUGUUGGUAGAGAAGAACGUUGGUGAGAGUGGAAAGCUCAUCAAGUGACGGUAACUACCCAGAAAGGGACGGCUAACUACGUG